RNAcentral lists this small RNA (878 nucleotides) under Pongo abelii (Sumatran orangutan). RNAcentral's name for it is "retained intron". The record is from RNAcentral. Lineage: Eukaryota; Metazoa; Chordata; Mammalia; Primates; Hominidae.
GCCUGGAAUCUGGACACACAGGGCUCCCCACGCCCCUGACUUCUCUGUCCGAAGUCGGGACACCCUCCUACCACCUGUAGAGGAGCGGGAGUGGAUCUGAAAUAAAAUCCAGGAAUCUGGGGGUUCCUAGACGGAGCCAGACUUCGGAACGGGUGUCCUGCUACUCCUGCUGGGGCUCCUCCAGGACAAGGGCACACAACUGGUUCCAUUAAGGCCCUCUCUCGCUCAGACGCCAUGGAGCUGGAUCUGUCUCCACCUCAUCUUGGCAGCUCUCCGGAAGACCUUUGCCCAGCCCCCGGGACCCCUCCUGGGACUCCCCGGCCCCCUGAUACCCCUCUGCCUGAGGAGGUAAAGAGGUCCCAGCCUCUCCUCAUCCCAACCACCGGCAGGAAACUUCGAGAGGAGGAGCGGCGUGCCACCUCCCUCCCCUCUAUCCCCAACCCCUUCCCUGAGCUCUGCAGUCCUCCCUCACAGAGCCCCAUUCUCGGGGGCCCCUCCAGUGCAAGGGGGCUGCUCCCCCGCGAUGCCAGCCGCCCCCAUGUGAGUUGUCCCUCAGAAGGGAAGGGAGGGAUGCAGGGGUUCUGGUUCUGUGGGAGAUACACAGCCGCUUCCAUGGAGGCGGGGGAUCUUGGUUAGGAGUCCCUGAGGGUCUAGCAGGUGCGGAAAGGGAUGGAAUCACCCUUUGCCUCCCCUCAAGUCGUGUGCAAUUCCUGGGGCACAGGUAGUAAAGGUGUACAGUGAAGAUGGGGCCUGCAGGUCUGUGGAGGUGGCGGCAGGUGCCACAGCUCGCCACGUGUGUGAAAUGCUGGUGCAGCGAGCUCACGCCUUGAGCGACGAGACCUGGGGGCUGGUGGAGUGCCACCCCCACCUAGCACUGG